AGGGUUGUCCAGGAUUGUCUAUGAUUUUGGACUUUUAAUCCGUUGGUCACAAGUUCGAAUCUUGUACGUCCUACCA
This 76-nucleotide transfer RNA is filed under the name Burkholderiales bacterium RIFCSPLOWO2_12_FULL_64_33. RNAcentral's name for it is "tRNA-Lys". The record is from RNAcentral. RNAcentral also lists the same sequence under 1 other name. Lineage: Bacteria; Pseudomonadati; Pseudomonadota; Betaproteobacteria; Burkholderiales.